AAAAUCCGUCGACUUUUUAAAU
Molecule: transfer RNA, 22 nt
Filed under: Dendrophthoe pentandra
Lineage: Eukaryota; Viridiplantae; Streptophyta; Magnoliopsida; Santalales; Loranthaceae
Also listed under: 7 other names
Description: partial tRNA-Leu
Source: RNAcentral